Molecule: long non-coding RNA, 242 nt
Organism: Nerophis ophidion (straightnose pipefish)
Lineage: Eukaryota; Metazoa; Chordata; Actinopteri; Syngnathiformes; Syngnathidae
Exons: 2
Source: RefSeq, a predicted model, not a curated record
GGCUGAGACACAUGUGUGUCGUCAGUCUGUUGUCUUCCACGUGACGAUUUAUGAAUGUUAAGAAGGCUGAUUGGAGACUCACUAUGAUUGUUUUCACCAGGUACUGUGUAUUAUUUUGUCGUGUGUUAAUGUGUUAGUCAGUCUGUUGUCUUCCACGUGACGAUUUAUGAAUGUUAAGAAGGCUGAUUGGAGACUCACUAUGAUUGUUUUCACCAGAAUAAACCAUGUUUGAGUCGGAAGAA